This is a non-coding RNA of Myotis lucifugus (little brown bat), 313 nucleotides long. NCBI's taxonomy places the organism in Eukaryota, Metazoa, Chordata, Mammalia, Chiroptera, Vespertilionidae. The record is from Rfam.
CUAACACGUGCGCGAGUCCGGGGCUCGUACGAAAGCUGCCGUGGAGCAAUGAAGGUGAAGGCCCGUCAGGGCCGAGGUGGGAUCCCGAGGCCUCUCCAGUACGCCGAGGGCGCACCACCCGCCCUUCUCGCGCGCCUUGCUGGGGAGGUGGAGCAUGAGCACAUGUGUUAGGACCCAAAAGAUGGUAAACUAUGCCUGGGCAGGGCGAAGCCACAGGAAACUCUGGUGGUGGUCCCUAGCGGUUCUGAUGUGCAAAUCCGUCAUCUGACCUGGGUAUAGGGGUGAAAGACUAAUCGAACCAUCUAGUAGCUGG